GACGAACGCUGGCGGCGUGCUUAACACAUGCAAGUCGAACGGAAAGGCCCUGCUUUUGUGGGGUGCUCGAGUGGCGAACGGGUGAGUAACACGUGAGUAACCUGCCCUUGACUUUGGGAUAACUUCAGGAAACUGGGGCUAAUACCGGAUAUGAGCUCCUGCUGCAUGGUGGGGGUUGGAAAGUUUCGGCGGUUGGGGAUGGACUCGCGGCUUAUCAGCUUGUUGGUGGGGUAGUGGCUUACCAAGGCUUUGACGGGUAGCCGGCCUGAGAGGGUUACCGGCCACAUGGGGACUGAGAUACGGCCCAGACUCCUACGGGAGGCAGCAGUGGGGAAUAUUGCACAAUGGGCGGAAGCCUGAUGCAGCAACGCCGCGUGCGGGAUGACGGCCUUCGGGUUGUAAACCGAUUUCGCCUGUGACGAAGCGUGAGUGACGGUAAUGGGUAAAGAAGCACCGGCUAACUACGUG
Molecule: ribosomal RNA, 468 nt
Filed under: uncultured bacterium
Lineage: Bacteria
Description: partial 16S ribosomal RNA
Rfam family: Bacterial small subunit ribosomal RNA
Source: RNAcentral